Molecule: long non-coding RNA, 4804 nt
Organism: Hipposideros armiger (great roundleaf bat)
Lineage: Eukaryota; Metazoa; Chordata; Mammalia; Chiroptera; Hipposideridae
Exons: 2
Source: RefSeq, a predicted model, not a curated record
CGUUCUGCUCCCUGCGAUCACCGCCUUGGCCUCAGGGACAGAAAAAAAAAAAAACUGGCCUCAGGAGGUUAGGAAAGGAAGAGGCUGAGCACGGGUUGGGGAGGUGUGUGUUUGGGGUGGAGGUGGGGGUAGUAGUCAGCUCCUUGUUCACUCCCUCCUGAUUUAACUAAGAGGUCAGGGGGCACCCCUCAAAGUACACCCAGGGUCAGAGAGCCCCAGGGCAAGCCGGACAGCCUGGCCCAUCACAUUCCCUGGGAAGAGGGCUUGAGGGACCCCAACUGCUGAGGCCCCACUCAACUUAAUCUCACACUGGUGGCUCGAGGCGUGGGCCUGGGAAGUGUGGCCUAGGCUGUGGACUCUCAAAAACCAAGUUGGUUCCACAGCGCUGGGCACCUGGCCAUCUCGGAAAGAGGUGGGAGGAAGAUGGGAGAGCUGGGAAAGAGUGGAGGGGUUGGGGAGCAUCUCUCCAUGGGUCCUCCCGCCACCCACCCCCAAUCUCUGUGACUCAGGACCAUCCCACCCACGCGAGCCUGUGGAUGAAGGCCACCGAACGAAAGAGGCGCUCAGCAGGACCCGCCUGAGGAUUUAUGCCGGAUCACUCUAUCCAGCCUGGAAGGAUCUAGAUUCUUCACUAAAAUAAAAACUGGGCAAUAAUCUGAUGGGGGUAGGGAGUGGGGAGGGGAGUUAGAGAGGGAAGCGGGCAACAUGUCUCCAGCCACGUUCUGAGCUGCAAGUUAAAAAUAGAAACCUUUCAUUGAGGUCUGCUGGGGGUAGCGGUGGGCGGAGGAGCUCCAAGUUUCUGUGGAACCAGAGCCACGUUAUCAAACUAUAAUCAAUCAAUUCACCAGGAUUUAUUGAAAUAAAUAAAUAUCUACUUUGGAUCCCGAGGGUCGCUUUCCGGGGCACGUGUCCAUUUAAGUAAAAAAAAAACAAAAACGCAUGCAAGUCUUGGUGGGGUUAUUUUGAGGCCUUUAUUUCUUAGCUCUUGGACAUAGGCCUAGCGAGCCCUUCGGAUUAUUUCGAUGGCAUGAUGUGGGGAGGGCAAGACGUGAGCCCCUAGAGGGUUCUCGGGUCUCCGCAUGUCCUGGUAUGCUACUGGUGCGCUCAUCAGGGACCCACCGUAACACAGCUCCCCAGUCCUGCCGCCCUGGGCGGGCGAAAGGUCGCUUGGCAAGCCCAGGCCUUCCUAGCCACUCCAUGACGCGGGAGAACGAGGAGCACAGGGAAACCCGAACCUCCAGUCCCGCCUGUGAUCUGCCCUUGAUCUCUGAGUUUUGUGAGGAAAAUACACCACUUGAGACUGAAAACAUCCGUCUGAAAAGAGACAAAGGGGGCAGGGGUGGGGAGUAGGAGGAAGAGAGCUGCCAGCAGAAAGGAAAGGGGCCGAGACAGCGUGCGACGGGGUGUGCGGGACCUGGGACCUGUUUCAUUCACUCGCCGGACCUCAGCCCCAGCAGCCUUCCCUUGCUCGCUCCCGGGGCAGAACCCACCCGGUCUCUGCUCCAGGAGUGACCUCCUCCCCGCCUGGGACUUAAGGGGACAUCAGUGAACCGGGAGAUGCUGAUAGCGACGCCAGUUAUCGUUGUAGUCAUUAAUAAUGCAGUGGGAUCACGAUAAUUAAUAAUAAUAAUGACGGGUCUCCCGAGGGGGCUCCAGCUGCCUCCGGAUAAAGCGACUCUCAUGUUAAGGGCAGUUAUUCGGUGGUGGAUGGAGCGGAGCACGAAGGUAGCAAGCGAUCUUGGGCGCUCUGAAGUUCAAGUUGACGGCGGUGACAAGCAGAAAGCGUCCUUAGGCUGCGGCAGUCGGGUGUCCCGGCGGGCAACGAACAACAGAGCAGCUCUGGUUCCCUAAGGGAGGCGAAGACGGGCUUCAGUUUUGUGGUUCUGGAGUCAACGCAAAGGCAGCUUCGAAUUCAGGUCUGUUUAGACGGUGAGAUUAGGGACUGGGGGAAGGGAGAUGCCUGACCCCCCCCCCUCCCCCAAUCCAGGCUCCUCAUUGCGGCUCAAGAGCCCGGGACCUUGGGCCGCCAGCCCCCGCGCACGUUCUAAAUUGAGCAAUUAUGACAUCUCUGCUACUCUUACACUUUUGCCAUGUCCCCUUCUCCCCAUCAUGUCUCCGGGAUUCGAAGGGCCGAAGAGAAAGACGAAGGUUGUGCCACGCCGUCGGGUCGGUGACUUGUUUGGACAAAGCGGUGGGACACAGGGGCCCGGAGAACUGGGAGCCAAUUUGCGGAAAAGCUGCUCCCAUCCGCUUCUCGCAUCCUGGGGUGAUCUAGGGGACGGCUCCCAGGCUGUGAUCUUAGUCCUCACGCCAUCCCCCUUCCCAUUUUUAUAUCCUGCAGAUAACUAGGAUAGCACGCGGAGACCAAAGGGGUCCUUCGGUAGCCCUCCAACAUUCAGAUCUGGAAAGCUUGAGAUCAAGCCAAGGCUGUGAAAUCGUCCUCUUCUUGCUGUUUUUCUUCUUCCCCCAAAUGAGAAGAAAAGCCCUAAGGCCUUGAGCUGAUGAUACUAAACCCCACCACCACCCCACCAUCAUUCCAUCCUUCUUAGAUCUGAGAGCUGUCUCAUAACCAAAAAUUUACACACACACACACACACACACACACACACAGAGAGAGAGAGAGAGAGAGAGAGAGAGAGAGAGAGAGAGAGAGAGAUUAAGACAUUUGGAAUAGACCAUCUCAUUCUUGCACAAGUUAUGACGAAUUUUUAAUCUGAUUCCUUCACCCCCUCCCCAAGGGUGGGGGGUGUUGGAACACCCUAAAGGAUUUUCCUGUUAAUAAUGUGUUCAAUGAAAUCUCCCAAGGAUCAGUAACAUAUGCCAAUUAUUUUAGUAAUUUUCCUUAAUAUUAUUAGGGGUUAUAAAUUUGAUUUUAAUAGGGGGUUGAUUGCUUCAGGAGUUGUCGCUUGGGCAGUUCGCAGGGCCGCUAGGGAGGGCUGGCGUCUGUCACCCUCUGGGAAACACACACACACACACACACACACACACACACAGGGAGCCUCUAGGCUGGAGUCUUUUCCUCCCCCAUUGAAUUGGUAUAUAUUGGCCUACGAGAGGUCAGGGUUGCCUUUCUUUUUCUCCCCAAGCUGCCCUCCAGCCUAGCUUGCCCGGCCCUGCGGCUCAGUCGAGGGCCUCAGUCGAGGGACGGAGGGGAAGGCGAAGCAGCGGUCUCCGCGGCAGUCACCCAUGCUGUCUCCUCCCACAGAGCUGUGCGGCCUCGCUGGGCAAUCUUACCGAGGUGUCGCUGCUGCAGCCCAAAUCUUUUCACCACUGAGGGGGAUAGCCAGGGCCUCUGGUGAGCUACAAGGAUACUCAGGAAGAUGGAGAUAUCUUCAUAGCUCAAGGAAUUAAAAAGAAUUUUCCCCACUCCUACCUUAUUAAAAUUAUUUUCCCUUCUUCCUUAGGGUAUCUUGUUUGAAAGUUCUCUGAUACUCUUGCAGGGGGCUGCAAACCUUAAGAGAAAGCUGAUGGUGCGCGCUCUGUCUCACUUCCACCUGGCUAUUUUAGUCUUUUUAUUUUAUUCGAUUUCCCUGAAUCUUUGAAGAGAUUCUCUUUCAUUUUGGGCCAAUAGUUUCUUGCUUUCCCACCUUCCCUUGAACAUGAACAUUCUGCUUAUUGGUGUGCAGCAGCUGUGCAGAUAAGCAGGGUUUCUUGAGUAAUCGCUGUUAAAAUUUUCCAGAAAAAAACUUUUGGUGGAAAUGGUCCCUUAAACUGUAAUCAUUGGGCCAAGUUCAAAAACAAAGUACUCAGCUCGGUUUUAAACAUGCAAUUAAAAAUAACUGUACCUCAGCUUUUCAGAGGAAAGGAAAGGAAAGGGGGCAGGGAUGAAGGAAAACAAAGAAUAAGGAAAUAUUUAGUGCUCUUAAAUCCAGUCCAAAUAGCUGCAAGAAAGGCAUUCCCUCAGAUAAUGGAGCCAUUAGAAACUCUGAAGGUUCCUGCCGCCAUUCCUCACAGAGGCUUUCCAAAAAUUUAAUUCACUCUCAGCUACAAAACAAAGGACAGAAAAGAAUUUUGAGACUUUCUGCCAAGGGGGCAGUUUGGCCUGGUUUCCAUGCAUAGAUACACCUUCCUCCCCGGAAUUUGAGGUGGUGCCUCCCAUUCAUUCAGGCAGCUGAGCCAUAACCAUGUUGACCCUCAGCUAUCUCCUUCCCAUUUCCUUUAAUAACUUUGCUAGAAAAAAAAUAGUAUGUUCAUGCAGUUUCAACACAUUUUAUUAUAUUUCUGUAUGCAUUACUUUCAAAACAUAUCACAAGAAAUGAUCAAACCACUUAAAACCUUCAAAUAAAAAAUCUGAAACAGUUUAUGCCCACAAUUGUACAUAUUUAUAGUUAAGAAACAUUCUUUAUAAAUAUUGUUUCCUCUGUAGCAAGUUAAUACCAUAAUUUAAUUACAAAUGGAUAAAUAUGGUAACGGGUAUUUACAGAAGGAAGGGUGUUAUUACGGAAAAAGCUAAUGGCACGACGUUUAUUUCCCCCCUCCCCCCACAAUCUUUCAUACAGGAACUAACAAAUUGAACUUGCAAAAGCACUAAAACAUCACAUGUAAACCCAGCUAACAGAAAAAUACAUUCACAAGCGUUGGUGGUGGUGGAGUGUAUGUGUGUGCUGUGGAUCAGUGUGUUGAAGAAACAGAAGGGAGGCUUUGGCACGGCUCGUUUUUUUUCCAGUCUGUACUUGCAUGAAGUUUACAAUCAAGUUGCCUCAUAGAAAGGAACACAAUAUUCAAAUACCACAAUACAAAAUAAACCAUUUUCUUCCACAUUACUUAAAAAGAAACUGGGUAAACUAAAAUGAGAAAAGAAAAA